GUCCUAUUAUACUUGCUAACAGGGCCAACUUUGAGGGUGUGGCUAAUGAAAUAAUCUCUUUCCAGAUCAUCUCGACUGUAAGAACCUUGAGAUCCUGAAUCCCCAGGGAUGCCGCGGCUCCUCUCGUGUGCUGCCGGGCAGGGCACUGGUGCAGGAGCUCCUUGAGUAAUCAC
This 173-nucleotide long non-coding RNA is filed under the name Ursus maritimus (polar bear). RNAcentral describes it as "lncRNA (ENSUMAG00000004693.1)". Lineage: Eukaryota; Metazoa; Chordata; Mammalia; Carnivora; Ursidae. The record is from RNAcentral.